GUCCACGGCCAUACCACCCUGAAUGGGCCCGAUCUUAUCCGAUCUCAGAAGCUAAGCAAGGUCAAGCCUGGUUGAUGGGAGACUGCCUGGGAACACCAGGUACUGUAGGCU
Molecule: ribosomal RNA, 111 nt
Organism: Capra hircus (goat)
Lineage: Eukaryota; Metazoa; Chordata; Mammalia; Artiodactyla; Bovidae
Source: Ensembl